AUAGGCCAGAUGUGGAAGCCCUGUAAGGGGUGGAGCUGACUGGUACUAAUAGGCCGAGGGCUUGUCCUCAGUUG
Molecule: ribosomal RNA, 74 nt
Filed under: Streptomyces sp. CB02115
Lineage: Bacteria; Bacillati; Actinomycetota; Actinomycetes; Kitasatosporales; Streptomycetaceae
Description: partial 23S ribosomal RNA
Source: RNAcentral